Molecule: long non-coding RNA, 991 nt
Filed under: Equus asinus (donkey)
Lineage: Eukaryota; Metazoa; Chordata; Mammalia; Perissodactyla; Equidae
Description: lncRNA (ENSEASG00005033688.1)
Source: RNAcentral
UUAGACUGAGACUCAGAUCUGAUCGACAAGAAAACACCCAUGAUGAGACAAGAUGGCUUGGGGAAGGAGGCAGGAUUCCAGGCCCAGAGAACAGCCACUGCCAAGAUCUGGAGACAGGAAAUGUCUUGGUGUGUCCCGGGAUCAAGAGGAAGGCCAGUGUGGCAGGAGCAGAGGGAAUAACAAGGAGAGUGACAGAAGACAAGAUUCAUUCUGACUUUGACCAUGUGAUUUGCUUAGGCUGGUGGGACAUCAGUAAAGAGAGCAAGCAGAGGUUUGAUAAGGGCCUGCACACUGGGGACUUGCUGUCUUGGAUCUCUGCCCUGGGAUCUUCCCGAUGUGAAGAACCUCGGGAUGAAAGACCAAGCAAGGAGAAAGGUCCAGCCACAUCAGCUGUGCAGCCCCCCAGUACACAGCUGUACAUUCUUCGUUGUGGGUCCUUCUAGUUGUGGCACGUGGGACGCCACCUCAGCGUGGCUUGAUGAGCACUGCCAUGUCCGCGCCCAGGAUUCGAACCAAUGAAACACUGGGCCGCCUGCAGCGGAGCACGCGAACUUAACCACUCAGCCACGGGGCCAGCCCCUAAAAAACUGUUCUUAAGGAAAAAUAAAAUUCAAAAUCGAGUGAAAACAAACCUGAAAGCUAGAUGAAGAUACCUCAAAGAAACGCUGCCUAUGUCACUUUUCCAAGACAACUGACAACUGAAAUCUAUGAGCAACACUUUCUGGCUUGGAAAACCUUCCUAAAGUGUGCAGUUGGUGCACGUGGUCUGCCUCCUGUCACAGUACCCAUAAGGCAUUCACUCAAAGAUGAGGCAUUUGCCUUCGACUUCCUGGAGCUUUUCUGUGCAAUACGAUGAAGGCCAAGGCAGCAUGACUUUGCACCCUUUAUGCAGCAGGAAACGGCUGGUUUAAAACCUGUCUCUGGGUCAGCUCUCCUGUUCAGCUUUCUGUUCUUCAAUUGGCAGAAAAGGGGGGCUACUAGAGAAGCUGAG